Molecule: ribosomal RNA, 253 nt
Filed under: uncultured bacterium
Lineage: Bacteria
Description: partial 16S ribosomal RNA
Rfam family: Bacterial small subunit ribosomal RNA
Source: RNAcentral
UACGUAGGUGGCGAGCGUUGUCCGGAUUUAUUGGGCGUAAAGCGCGCGCAGGCGGUUCCUCGCGUCCGGUGUGAAAUCUCCCGGCUCACCUGGGAGGGGGCGCUGGAAACGGAGGGACUGGAGGCAGGCAGAGGUCGGUGGAAUUCCCGGUGUAGUGGUGAAAUGCGUAGAGAUCGGGAGGAACACCAGUGGCGAAAGCGGCCGACUGGGCCUGUCCUGACGCUGAGGCGCGAAAGCGUGGGGAGCGAACCGG